CGCGUAGGCGGUUUUUUAAGUCUGAUGUGAAAGCCCACGGCUCAACCGUGGAGGGUCAUUGGAAACUGUAAAACUUGAGUGCAGAAGAGGAAAGUGGAAUUCCAUGUGUAGCGGUGAAAUGCGCAGAGAUAUGAAGGAACACCAGUGGCGAAGGCGACUUUCUGGUCUGUAACUGACGCUGAUGUGCGAAAGCGUGGGGAUCAAACA
Molecule: ribosomal RNA, 207 nt
Filed under: uncultured bacterium
Lineage: Bacteria
Description: partial 16S ribosomal RNA
Rfam family: Bacterial small subunit ribosomal RNA
Source: RNAcentral